GAUGAACGCUGGCGGCGUGCCUAAUACAUGCAAGUCGAGCGAAGCGGGGACGGGUGAGUACAACGUGGAUAACCUCCUAUAAGACUGGGAUAACUUCGGGAAACCGGAGCUAAACCGGAAAAGUAUAGAUGGAUCCGCGCUGCAUUAGCUAGUUGGUAAGGUAACGGCUUACCAAGGCAACUAUGCCUAGCCGACCUGAUAGGGUGAUCGGCCACUAGGGAACUGAGAACAGGUCCAGACUCCUCCGGGAGGCAGCAGUAGGGAAGCUUCCGCAAUGGGCGAAAGCCUGACGGAGCAACGCCGCGUGAGUGAUGAAGGUCUUCGGAUCGUAAAACUUUGUUAUUAGGGAAGCGGUACCUAAUCAGAAAGCCACGGCUAACUACGUGCCAGCAGCCGCGGUAAUAC
RNAcentral lists this ribosomal RNA (405 nucleotides) under uncultured bacterium. RNAcentral's name for it is "partial 16S ribosomal RNA". It matches the Rfam family "Bacterial small subunit ribosomal RNA", at positions 28 to 526 of the family's 1533-position model. The record is from RNAcentral.